RNAcentral lists this ribosomal RNA (462 nucleotides) under uncultured bacterium. RNAcentral describes it as "partial 16S ribosomal RNA". It matches the Rfam family "Bacterial small subunit ribosomal RNA", at positions 29 to 507 of the family's 1533-position model. The record is from RNAcentral.
AGUGAACGCUGGCGGCGUGCCUAAUACAUGCAAGUCGAACGAACGAAUAAGAGCUUGCUCUUAUAAGUUAGUGGCGCACGGGUGAGUAAUAUAUAGCUAAUCUGCCUCUUAGUAGAGGAUAACAGUCGGAAACGAUUGCUAAUACUCUAUACUUCUGCUUUACAUAAGUAAAGUAGAGAAAGUUUUUCGCUAAGAGAUGAGGCUAUACUGUAUCAGCUAGUUGGUAAGGUAACGGCUUACCAAGGCUAUGACGCAUAACUGGUCUGAGAGGAUGAUCAGUCACAUUGGAACUGAGACACGGUCCAAACUCCUACGGGAGGCAGCAGUAGGGAAUAUUGCGCAAUGGGGGCAACCCUGACGCAGCAACGCCGCGUGGAGGAUGACACUUUUCGGAGCGUAAACUCCUUUUAUCGGGAAAGAAUAAUGACGGUACCCGAUGAAUAAGCACCGGCUAACUCCGUG